GUGCUCGCUUCAGCAGCACAUAUACUAAAACUGGAACGAUACAAAGAAGAUUAAGCAUGGCCCUGUGCAAGGAUGACACGCAAAUUCGUGAAGCCUUCCAUAUUAAA
Molecule: small nuclear RNA, 107 nt
Filed under: Echinops telfairi (small Madagascar hedgehog)
Lineage: Eukaryota; Metazoa; Chordata; Mammalia; Afrosoricida; Tenrecidae
Source: RNAcentral